This 403-nucleotide ribosomal RNA is filed under the name uncultured bacterium. RNAcentral describes it as "bacterial SSU rRNA". It matches the Rfam family "Bacterial small subunit ribosomal RNA", at positions 355 to 755 of the family's 1533-position model. The record is from RNAcentral.
UGAGGAAUAUUGGUCAAUGGGCGAGAGCCUGAACCAGCCAAGUCGCGUGAAGGACUACGGCCCUAUGGGUCUUAAACUUCUUUUGUAUAGGGGUAAAGAUAUGUACGUGUACAUAAUUGCAAGUACUAUACGAAUAAGGAUCGGCUAACUCCGUGCCAGCAGCCGCGGUAAUACGGAGGAUCCGAGCGUUAUCCGGAUUUAUUGGGUUUAAAGGGUGCGUAGGCUGUUUGUCAAGUCAGAGGUGAAAGGCCGCAGCUCAACUGUGGAAUUGCCUUUGAUACUGGCAGGCUUGAAUACUGUUGCCGUGGGAGGAAUGAGUAGUGUAGCGGUGAAAUGCAUAGAUAUUACUCAGAACACCGAUUGCGAAGGCAUCUCACGAAGCAGACAUUGACGCUGAGGCACG